This 497-nucleotide ribosomal RNA is filed under the name uncultured bacterium. RNAcentral's name for it is "partial 16S ribosomal RNA". It matches the Rfam family "Bacterial small subunit ribosomal RNA", at positions 28 to 507 of the family's 1533-position model. The record is from RNAcentral.
GAUGAACGCUGGCGGCGUGCCUAACACAUGCAAGUCGAGCGAACGGACGAGAAGCUUGCUUUUCUGAUGUUAGCGGCGGACGGGUGAGUAACACGUGGAUAACCUACCUAUAAGACUGGGAUAACUUCGGGAAACCGGAGCUAAUACCGUAUAAUAUUUUGAACCGCAUGGUUCAAAAGUGAAAGACGGUCUUGCUGUCACUUAUAGAUGGAUCCGGGCUUCAUUAGCUAGUUGUUAAGGUAACGGCUUACCAAGGCAACGAUGCAUAGCCGACCGGAGAGGGUGAUCGGCCACACUGGAGCGGGGACGCGGUCCAGGCUCCUGCGAGAGGGAGCAGUAGGGUACGGGACGCAACAGGCGGAAACCUGGCAGAGUGACGGGACGCGAGAUGUGGAGGUCCUCGGAUCGGAAAACUGGCUUAUUGGGGAAAAACAUAUUUGUAAGGAACUGUGCACAUCGUGACGGUACCUAAUCAAAAAGCCACGGCUAACUACGUG